This 497-nucleotide ribosomal RNA is filed under the name uncultured bacterium. RNAcentral describes it as "partial 16S ribosomal RNA". It matches the Rfam family "Bacterial small subunit ribosomal RNA", at positions 28 to 507 of the family's 1533-position model. The record is from RNAcentral.
GAUGAACGCUGGCGGCGUGCCUAAUACAUGCAAGUCGAGCGAACAGACGAGGAGCUUGCUCCUCUGACGUUAGCGGCGGACGGGUGAGUAACACGUGGAUAACCUACCUAUAAGACUGGGAUAACUUCGGGAAACCGGAGCUAAUACCGGAUAAUAUAUUGAACCGCAUGGUUCAAUAGUGAAAGACGGUUUUGCUGUCACUUAUAGAUGGAUCCGCGCCGCAUUAGCUAGUUGGUAAGGUAACGGCUUACCAAGGCAACGAUGCGUAGCCGACCUGAGAGUGUGCUGGCCCACCGUGGAACUGGACCACGCCCCAGCCUCCUAGGGGGGGCACCAUGGGGCAUUCUUCCGAAGAGGCCGAAGCCCGGACGGCGCACCGCCGCGUGAUGAAUAAGGUUCUUGGAAUCUAAAACCUUUUUUAUUAGGAAAAAACAAAUUUGAAAGUAACUAUGCGCUUCUUGACGGUCCCUAAUCAGAAGCCCCCGCCUACCUACGUC